This 877-nucleotide ribosomal RNA is filed under the name uncultured archaeon. RNAcentral describes it as "bacterial SSU rRNA". It matches the Rfam family "Archaeal small subunit ribosomal RNA", at positions 62 to 925 of the family's 1478-position model. The record is from RNAcentral.
AGAACUAUGUCUGGGAGUGGCACACUGCUCAGUAACACGUAGCUAACCUACCCUUAGGACGUGGAUACCCCCGAGAAAUUGGGGUUAAUCCGCGAUAGAUGUAAUGUCCUGGAAUGGUAUUACGUCUAAAGGUAUUUCAUACAUGUUUGAAAUAUGCCUAAGGGUGGGGCUGCGGCCGAUCAGGCUGUUGGUGAGGUAAUGGCUCACCAAACCUUUGACCGGUACGGGCCAUGAGAGUGGUAGCCCGGAGAUGGACACUGAGACAAGGGUCCAGGCCCUAAGGGGCGCAGCAACCGCGAAACCUCCACAAUGCACUCACGUGCGAUGGGGCUAUCUCGAGUGCCACCUGAUGAAGGUGGCUUUUCCUUGGUCUUCAAAGCCUUGGGAAUAAGAGGGGGGCAAGACUGGUGUCAGCCGCCGCGGUAACACCAGCCCCUCGAGUGGUGGGGAUGAUUAUUUGGCCUAAAGCGUCCGUAGCCGGCCGUGAAAGUCUUCCGUUAAAUCCAGCGUCUCAAGCGUUGGACCGCGGGAGAUACUACAUGGCUAGAGAGUGGGAGAGGUCAGCGGUAUUCUGGGGGUAGGGGCGAAAUCCUUUGAUCCCCGGAGGACCACCAGUGGCGAAGGCUGCUGACUAGAACACGUCUGACGGUCAGGGACGAAAGCUGGGGUAGCGAACCGGAUUAGAUACCCGGGUAGUCCCAGCCGUAAACGAUGCAUGCUAGGUGUUGGGUUGGCCACGAGCCACCCCAGUGCCGCAGGGAAGCCGUUAAGCAUGCCGCCUGGGAAGUACGAUCGCAAGAUUGAAACUUAAAGGAAUUGGCGGGGGAGCACCACCAGGCGUGAAGCCUGCGGUUUAAUUGGAGUCAACGCCGGGAAU